CCUACGGGAGGCAGCAGUGAGGAAUAUUGGUCAAUGGGCGCGAGCCUGAACCAGCCAAGUCGCGUGAGGGAAGACGGUCCUAUGGAUUGUAAACCUCUUUUGUCGGGGAGCAAAAGACGCCACGCGUGGCGUUCAGAGAGUACCUGAAGACAAAGCAUCGGCUAACUCCGUGCCAGCAGCCGCGGUAAUACGGAGGAUGCGAGCGUUAUCCGGAUUUAUUGGGUUAAAGGGGUGGGCAGGCGGAAGAUCAAGUCAGCGGUAAAAUUGAGGGGCUCAACCUCUUCGAGCCGUUGAAACUGGUUGUCUUGAGUGAGUGAGAAGUAGGCGGAAUGCGUGGUGUAGCGGUGAAAUGCAUAGAUAUCACGCAGAACUCCGAUUGCGAAGGCAGCAUACCGGCGCUCAACUGACGGUCAUGCACGAAAGUGUGGGUAUCGAACAGGAUUAGAUACCCGGGUAGUC
This 459-nucleotide ribosomal RNA is filed under the name uncultured bacterium. RNAcentral describes it as "partial 16S ribosomal RNA". It matches the Rfam family "Bacterial small subunit ribosomal RNA", at positions 338 to 795 of the family's 1533-position model. The record is from RNAcentral.